CUACUCGGAGACUUUUUCUCCUGUUCUGAAACCUACCAUCGUCCGAACUGUUCUUUCUGUUGCACUUCAUCGAAAUUAGUCCAUGAGGCAGCUUGAUGUUUCGGCAACAGGGUGGAUUUGUUCAUCCUGAUUUUUCAGAUUAUGUAUGCAAGCUUUAAAAAAGGUUAAAGCAGGCACCUAGAGCCUGGUUUCAACGGUUCAUUUAGCUUUCUAUUUGACUGUGGAUUUCUGCAAUGCCCCUCUGAUCUAAGUAUGUUAAUCUAUUCUACUAGUACAGGUAUCGAAGCUACCGUUUUACUGGAAGGAAUGCUACUUUCACAAGGCAAGUACACAAGGGAACUGUUGAACAUAUUUAACAUGCUUCAUGCUAAACAAGUAUCGAUACUACUAAAUAUAAAGCAUGAUUGGAGUAUUGAACAUGGUGAGCUGUGCGACCCAAAUGAGUAUCGUACUUUAGCAGGGGGACUACAAUAUCUUUCAUUUAUGAGGCCUGGUAUCACCUUUGCAGUAAAUCUUUGUUCUCAGUAUAUGCAUGUUCCACAGAUUCAUCACAUGCAAGCUGCAAAACCGAUAUUAUACUAUCUUGGAGGUACUAUAUAGUUUGAGCUUAUGCUUUAUCGCAAUUAUUUUGAAAAAUUGUUAGUGUAUUCUAAUGCAGACUGGGCUAGGUGUCAUCAAACUUGUUGCUCUAUGAUGGGUUAUUGUAUUUUUGUUGGUCGAAAUCUUCUUUCUUGGUCUACGAAAAAGCAACCUAUGGUUGCUCGAUCGACUACAGAAGCAGAAUAUCGAGCACUUGUUGCAGCUUAUGUUGAAGUGACAUAGAUACAACAUAUUCUAAAGGAUCUCGAUGUCAAAUUAAAUUCUCCCAUUACAGCUUACUGUGAUAAUAUAGGGGCAACAUAUUUGUUUCAAAAUCUAGUUAUGCACUCUCAAAUGAAGCACAUUGAUAUAGAUUAUCAUUUUGUUCGUGAAAAGGUAGCACUAGGUGAUAUGGAAGUCCGACACAUUCCGACUCAUAAUCAACUUGCCAAUGUUCUCACCAAAGACCUCACUGUUGCAAAAUUUUCUACUUUUGUUUUGAAUCUAAACGUUCGUUCCUCCCGCCUAGAUUGAGGGGGAGUGUUGGUAUAUAUUAUAUAUCUUAUUACUUGUGGAUAUUUUUGUAAUAGUUGUACUUAUCUUGCUAUAAAUAUACAUUAAUCAUACCCUAUUUGGGUUUGAGGUCCCAUAAUCUAAUAAGGAGAACUAUACGAGAUCUGGUGGUCGAACUUUGGUUUCUACAAGUUUGGUUUCGGUUAUGACCUUUCGAAACUGUUUAGUCCUCUAAAUUUGCAGUCAAAAGUGGCCUUUCCAAUUCUAGAAGAAAUUUUUCACUGUGAAUGUCUUUGUCUUUUGAUCCCUAAAGGCGUUAGAGAUUUGAAUUGUAGUUGAUUUUGAUGUACUCGAGAUGCUUUCUCUGAUAUGAUGAAUUUUGGCUAACUUCCGAUUAAAGUAUGCUACCCAGAGCUAUACUCCUAAUUCAAUUAGGGUUUUGAUUUAGAUCUACUUUUUAGUUUUAUCUAUUAUUAUAUCAUGUUGUUGGAUGAUACUUGAUUCGCAGAGCGGUUUAUAUAGAUCAUCGUGAUAUCAUACAUGCUUAGUUACUAUACACGUCGGCUUAAUUUUGUGUUCCUCUUCACAUGCUUCAUGAUCUUCAAGUAUGAACUUUGUCGUGUUGGAAAUAUGAUAUGUAGAGUAGGAUUGGAUGACACAUAAUUACUCUUUUAUGGGUUUUGUCCUUAUUGGUUGGUUACAUUCGAUUAUGAAUAUGGCAUAUGAUUGACCUUCUAGUUGGCUUAACUCUAUUUGUGUUUUGACCUUUGUGGUCGGCAGAUUGCUCCUCGUAAACCUUGCGGCUUUCCUCAGCAAUUCGAUUAAUUAAGCAUACAGCAGGAUCCGCCACUGCAUGAUGCGCAUUCACGUGCAACAUUUUGAUUUAGCCAUCGACAAUAGAUGUUCUUUUCUUGGAAAAGAGAUCAAAAGUGACUAGUAAGUCAUGUUCAUGCAGUGCGGCUUUUGCCUGAGGUCUAUAGACCCAUAGGGCAACUGUGGAUUGGGUAUAACUUGGACUCAUCGUCUGGUUCAUACAUGCAUUAAAAUGAAGACUUUGUUUACGUCACAAGACCUUGGGAUUUGGUUGAGAAUGGAUAUGCAAAUCCCGAUGAAGAAAUAAAGUUGAAGGAAAAUAGAAAGCAGGAUUCCAAGGCACUACUAUUUUUCAUUCAACAAGCAGUUCAUGAGUCCAUCUUCUCAAGAAUUGCUAUAGCAACUACGGCAAAAGAAGCUCAGGAAAGGAGUUUCAGGGGUCAUCAAAGGUAAUUUACUGUGAUAUUUUAGCCUCUUUGUCGAGAUUUUGAAACUUUGCUCAUGAGAAACAAUAAAUCGCGACAAGAAUUUUUAUCUAGAGUUACAUUUGUUGUUAACCAAAUAAAAUUGUAUGGUGAAAAGAUUUCUGAAGAAACAGUAGUUGCAACAGUUUUGAGAAGCUUGACUCCAAAAUAUGAUCAUGUUGCUGCUGCAAUUGAGGAAUCUAAGGAUUUAUCUGUUUUUUCAUUUCAUGAACUAAUGAGUUCUUUGCGAGCUCAUGAUGCUAGAAUGAACAGAUCGACUGAAAAUGUCGAAGAGAAGGCAUUUCAGGUGAAGGGGAAGACUUUUACACAAAAAAGAUAAGUCUGAUAAUUUUGUAGCAAGAGGUCGAGGGAGAGGCGGAUUCCGUGGCCGAGGUCAUGGUCGAGGCCGACGUCGGGGGUGAUUUGAUGAGCAACGACAAUCGUUCAAUGAGUAUUGAGGCAACCGGAGUGGAAUCCAAUGCUAUCAUUGCAAGAAAUUUGGGCACAUCAAGGCAAAUUGUUGGAGCAAAGAAAAGCAUGCAGCUAACUAUGUAGAAGGAAAAAAAAAGAUGAAAGUAAGUUGUUCAUGGCUUGUUAUCAUGUUAAUAAUGAAUUAAAUGAAGUUUGGUUUUUAGAUAAUGGAUGUCCUAACCAUUUGUCUGGAGUGAGAUCUAUAUUUCAAAAUUAAUCUUGAUGAAUCACAGAAGAUGCAAGUUAGUCUUGAAGAUGAUAAACAAGUUCAACAUGAAGGAAAAUGUACAAUUACGGAAAAAACAAGCCAUGGUAAAGUAAAGCAUCUUUGUAAUAUUUUCUAUGUUCCUAGUUUGGCGCACAACUUGUUGUUGAGUGUUGGGCAGUUAAUGAACAGUAGUUAUUCUAUUUUGUUUGAUAAUGCCUUAUGUACUAUUAAAGAGAAAAGUUCAGAGCAAAUUAUAGUUAAUGUUCAAAUGAUAGCAAAUAAAAUAUUUUCACUCAAAAUUUCGAGUAUUGAUAGGCAUCCAUUGACUGCUAGCUUAAAGAAUGAGUCUCUUUUGUGGCAUUUACGAUAUGGGCAUCUAAAUAUAAAUGGUUUGAAGUUGUUAAAUAAAAAAGAUAUGG
Molecule: long non-coding RNA, 3467 nt
Organism: Ananas comosus (pineapple)
Lineage: Eukaryota; Viridiplantae; Streptophyta; Magnoliopsida; Poales; Bromeliaceae
Exons: 3
Source: RefSeq, a predicted model, not a curated record